AACGCACCUUGCGCUCCUUGGUAUUCCGAGGAGCAUGCCUGUUUGAGUGUCAUUUAAUUCUCAACCAUCCCUCGAUUCGUUUCGAGGUUUGGCUUGGAUUUUGGGGGCUGCCGGGCGACCCUAGGGUCUUCGGCUCUCCUUAAAAGCAUUAGCGAUGGUGGAACGAUCUAACCCCAUGCAUGAACGGCCUUCGACGUGAUAAUGAUCGUCGUGGCUGGAGUGCUAGCGGGCGUCGUGAAAUUGGCGCUUCUAAAUCUCGUCGAAAGACGAAACUCGAAACUUGACCUCAAAUCAGGUAGGACUACCCGCUGAACUUAA
This 318-nucleotide unclassified non-coding RNA is filed under the name uncultured fungus. RNAcentral's name for it is "partial contains 5.8S ribosomal RNA, internal transcribed spacer 2, and large subunit ribosomal RNA". The stretch from base 1 to 52 matches the Rfam family "5.8S ribosomal RNA", at positions 103 to 154 of the family's 154-position model. Lineage: Eukaryota; Fungi. RNAcentral also lists the same sequence under 1 other name. The record is from RNAcentral.